UAGGGAAUCUUCCGCAAUGGGCGAAAGCCUGACGGAGCAACGCCGCGUGAGUGAUGAAGGUCUUCGGAUCGUAAAACUCUGUUAUUAGGGAAGAACAAAUGUGUAAGUAACUAUGCACGUCUUGACGGUACCUAAUCAGAAAGCCACGGCUAACUACGUGCCAGCAGCCGCGGUAAUACGUAGGUGGCAAGCGUUAUCCGGAAUUAUUGGGCGUAAAGCGCGCGUAGGCGGUUUUUUAAGUCUGAUGUGAAAGCCCACGGCUCAACCGUGGAGGGUCAUUGGAAACUGGAAAACUUGAGUGCAGAAGAGGAAAGUGGAAUUCCAUGUGUAGCGGUGAAAUGCGCAGAGAUAUGGAGGAACACCAGUGGCGAAAGCGACUUUCUGGUCUGUAACUGACGCUGAUGUGCGAAAGCGUGGGGAUCAAACAGG
RNAcentral lists this ribosomal RNA (429 nucleotides) under Actinomycetes bacterium. RNAcentral describes it as "Actinobacteria bacterium partial 16S ribosomal RNA". It matches the Rfam family "Bacterial small subunit ribosomal RNA", at positions 355 to 776 of the family's 1533-position model. Lineage: Bacteria; Bacillati; Actinomycetota; Actinomycetes. The record is from RNAcentral.